GACGAACGCUGGCGGCGUGCUUAACACAUGCAAGUCGAACGGUGAAGCGCCUUCCUUUUUGGUGGGUGUGGAUGAGUGGCGAACGGGUGAGUAACACGUGAGUAACCUGCCCCCUUCUUCUGGAUAACCGCAUGAAAGUGUGGCUAAUACGGGAUAUUCUGGGUCUGUCGCAUGAUGGGUCUGGGAAAGAUAUUGUUUCUGUGGGGGAUGGGCUCGCGGCCUAUCAGCUUGUUGGUGGGGUGAUGGCCUACCAAGGCGGUGACGGGUAGCCGGCCUGAGAGGGUGGACGGUCACACUGGGACUGAGACACGGCGCAGACUACUACGGGAGGCAGCAGGGGGGAAUAUGGCACAAUGGGCGCAAGCCUGAUGCAGCGACGCCGCGUGAGGGAUGGAGGCCGUCGGGUUGUGAACCUCUUUCGCCAGUGAAGCAGGCCUGCCUAGUUUGUGGGUGGGUUGACGGUAGCUGGAUAAGAAGCGCCGGCUAACUACGUG
RNAcentral lists this ribosomal RNA (494 nucleotides) under uncultured bacterium. RNAcentral's name for it is "partial 16S ribosomal RNA". It matches the Rfam family "Bacterial small subunit ribosomal RNA", at positions 28 to 507 of the family's 1533-position model. The record is from RNAcentral.